GACGAACGCUGGCGGCGUGCUUAACACAUGCAAGUCGAGCGGUAAGGCCCUUCGGGUACACGAGCGGCGAACGGGUGAGUAACACGUGGGUGACCUGCCUCUAGCUCUGGGAUAAGCCUGGGAAACUGGGUCUAAUACCGGAUAUGACUCCACGGCGCAUGUUGUGGGGUGGAAAGCCUUGUGUGGCUAGAGGAUGGGCCCGCGGCCUAUCAGCUUGUUGGUGGGGUGAUGGCCACCAAGGCGACGACGGUAGCCGGCCUGAGAGGGCGACCGGCCACACUGGGACGUGAGACACGGCCCAGACUCCUACGGGAGGCAGCAGUGGGGAAUCUUGCGCAAUGGGCGAAAGCCUGACGCAGCGACGCCGCGUGAGGGAUGAC
Molecule: ribosomal RNA, 380 nt
Filed under: uncultured bacterium
Lineage: Bacteria
Description: bacterial SSU rRNA
Rfam family: Bacterial small subunit ribosomal RNA
Source: RNAcentral